Hydra vulgaris (swiftwater hydra) is the source of this 2131-nucleotide non-coding RNA. Lineage: Eukaryota; Metazoa; Cnidaria; Hydrozoa; Anthoathecata; Hydridae. The record is from RefSeq and is a predicted model, not a curated record.
UUCAAAGAUAUCUUUAAGGUUAUUUUUGUAGCCUGAUAAAUCUUAUUUAAGAUUAUAUUUUGUUUUAUUGCAAAAAAUGAAAUGAAAUGGUCAGCCCUACCCAUUUAAAGACAUGCUGUGUAAAUUUGGGAGUUAGGGGGGGGAGCGGUUCAGUUAAAAAAAAUCCGUAAUUUUUAAAAUUUUCAUUUUAAGUGUAAAUAAAAACAAUGUCAACAAGCAAUGGUUAUGGUAAAAAAUCUCAUCGUGAAGUUUUUCUUGUUGGAAAAAGAAUCGGAACAAUACCUAUCACACAAUUGCUAACUAAAAGAACUGUAUUGCAAUAUUACCAUUACAUUGAUCUUAUACUAAGAGCUGAUUUUCCAAACAUUUCAUCAGUUAGUAUAGCUUCAUGUCCACUUGGUGAUUUCUUUACUGCACAGUGUGCUGAAAUAGGUGGUUGUCUCCAAAAAUGUUUACCAUGCGUCCUUUAUGAGGUGAAGAAAAUUUGGCUAAAAGCAGGAAUUCCUUUUGUUAAUACUGACAAGCAUAUCAGAGACAAGAUUGUUGACUUAGAAAAGAAGAGAAAAGAUUUAGACAAACACAGGAAUCGUUUAAGUAAAAAUUUAGUUUUAAAAAGAGAAACUUUUUCAAGAAUGCUAGAGGAAGUAUUCGAUGUAAGUCAAAACAAUUGUGAACAUACUAAUAUGAAAGAUAAAACUAAAGAUUUAAAAACUAGAAGAGUGGAUGCAGAUUUUCUUAACGACCAGAAAGGAGCGUGUGUUCAGUAAAUGUUGGGUAAAGAUAAAAUUUCACAAAAUGUUGUAAAAAAUAAAAGAAAAAGAGAAAUGAAAAAAAAAAAUAAAUCAAAGUAUAAAAGAGACCAUAAUAAAACAGAAAGAGUUGGUUACUGAGAAAUUUGAUGACACAAUGAAAAAUUUAAAUACUUUAGAUAAUGACCAAGAUGAACAGUAUCUACAACCUUCUAUAAAAAUUAAAAAAUCUAAUGCUGUUCCUCUUAUAGUUCCUAAAAAUAUAGGAAAAGAUUUAGCUCCAACAGCAUCACGAUAUGGAAUAUGUUUGACUGCACUGAGUGCAACUCUUGCUUCUCUUAUAAAUAACAGUUCUAUAACAACAGAUGAUUUUUCAAGUAUAAAAAAUCAAGUAUAAGUACAACUGCCUGUAAAAUUAAAGACAACUUUAUUAUAUUGGCUGAGGGUAAAAGUCUUACCGUGCAUUUUGACUCCAAAAUUAUGGUAGAAUUGAGAGAAAUUGGUAAAGAAAAAGUUGAAAGAUUAGCUGUGCUAAUCAGUUCACCAGAUCUUUCAGAAUCCCAACUUUUGGGUAUUUCAAUUGUAAAAGAUGGCACUGCUGAGUCUCUUGGGAAAGCAAUCAAAAAAACUUUACAAGACUGGGAGCUAUUUGACUAUGUUGAUUGUCUGUCCUUUGACACCACAGUCACAAAUACUGGUUGGCUAAAAGGUCAAUAAGAGUCUGUACUCUUAUUGAGCAGUAGAGAGGAAAAGCUUUGAUUUGGAUGGCUUGUCAUCAUCAUGUCUACGAAUUUCAUAUGCACUUUUCAAGUGUUCUUACUGGAGGUAAAACAAGUGGACCAAAUACUGAGUUAUUUGAAAGGCUAAAGUGUAAUUGGAAAUCGAUUCUUGAAAAGAAGAUAAAUUCUGAUAACUUAAAGAGAUUUGACUCAGAAAAAAAAAUUAAAUCUUUUUUGGAAAAGCAGGCUUCUGAAUCAUUAACAUUCCUUCAAAAUUGCCUCGAUAAUGAUAUAUUUCCAAGAAAUGACUACAAGUAUUUUAUACAGUUAGCAGUUCUUUGGUUAGGUGGCAAAGUAAAAGAUUUUCACUUUAGAUUUCCAAUGGCUUCACAUCAUGCCAGGUUUAUGGCACAGGGCGUUUAUUAUUUAACAUACGACAUUCUACAGCCACAAUUCAGUAACUUAUGUCCUGAUAUAAUAUCAUUACAAGAGGGAAAGCUGAUCCAUGAAAUUGGUUCAUUUACAGCACUACUUUAUGUUCCAUAAUUUAUUAAAGCUCCUAUCCCUGCCAUAGCACCUUCUUUAGAUCUAAAAGCCAUUAAUGAAAUGAUACAAUAUUCUGAAUUAUGUCUUAAACCAGCAGAGGCCGUACUAAAGUCACUU